CGCGGGGGUGGAGCAGCACGGUAGCUCGUCGGGCUCAUAACCCGAAGGUCGCAGGUUCAAAUCCUGUCCCCGCAACCA
RNAcentral lists this transfer RNA (78 nucleotides) under Bacillus cereus. Its description in RNAcentral is "tRNA-Met". It matches the Rfam family "tRNA". From Rfam's summary of the family: Transfer RNA (tRNA) molecules are approximately 80 nucleotides in length. Lineage: Bacteria; Bacillati; Bacillota; Bacilli; Caryophanales; Bacillaceae. RNAcentral also lists the same sequence under 4 other names. The record is from RNAcentral.